Molecule: ribosomal RNA, 164 nt
Filed under: uncultured bacterium
Lineage: Bacteria
Description: partial 16S rRNA
Rfam family: Bacterial small subunit ribosomal RNA
Source: RNAcentral
UAGGGAAUCUUCCACAAUGGGCGAAAGCCUGAUGGAGCAACGCCGCGUGUGUGAUGAAGGGUUUCGGCUCGUAAAACACUGUUGUAAGAGAAGAAUGACAUUGAGAGUAACUGUUCAAUGUGUGACGGUAUCUUACCAGAAAGGAACGGCUAAACACGUGCUAG